This 2098-nucleotide long non-coding RNA is filed under the name Mytilus galloprovincialis (Mediterranean mussel). Lineage: Eukaryota; Metazoa; Mollusca; Bivalvia; Mytilida; Mytilidae. The record is from RNAcentral.
CUGGGAUGACAAACUAAUCCAAGCAACUUAUUUUAUGUCAACCAGUUGUAUACUAAGAUAAGCAAAAGCAAAACCGUGAAGAAAUAUGUAAUAAAAAUCAAUGUGCUACUUAUAGGAACUGCGUCUAUAAACAUAUAUGUACAUUGUAUGAUAAAAGACUUUUGCAGGUAAGGAAAAUAGAUAAUUUUCAAAAUAUUCAAAUAUUGAAUUGUGAAUUAUAGACAAUAUAUCCUGUUCAUUUCAUAAACCAGGCAGGUAUUAUUUUUUGAUAUUCAUUGAUAACCAGUUAAUGCAUAUCGUCAUUAUUAAGUUAAUAGUUAUCAAAGCUACCAGGAUUAUAAUUUAGUACGCCAGACGCGCGUUUCGUCUACAUAAGACUCAUCAGUGACGCUCAAUCAAAAUAUUUAUAAACCCAAACAAGUACAAAGUUGAAGAGCAUUGAGGAUCCAAAAUUCCAAAAAGUUGUGCCAAAUACGGCUAAGGUCUACCAUAUAUUCUGGAUAUUAUUGAAUUACUUGAAAUGUAAUAUUAACGUACAUUGAUAUGUCUACAUUGAUUUCCAUUUUAUUAUUAUUUAUAUUCCGGUUGUAUUUAGUGCCUUUACAUCAGAAACUUUUAGGGUCAAUUACCAUCUUAUUGAUUGUUUGUUAUGAAAUAGACAAAAGUAAUGAUUAUCCAAUGUUUUCGUUUUACUAGAAAGGCUUACAUAUGUUUUAGUUUGUUACCCCGAUUUAGUUUUUUGUCCAUGGAUUUAUGAGUUUUUAACAGCGGUAUACUACUGUUGCCUUUAUUUAUAUACCUACAAUAUGUCUCUCAUAUAUUCACAAGAAACUGAGCAAGGAAUUGGACUAAUAUAUUUCUUUAGAAAACUGUACCCAACAAGCCGGAUUUAGAAUUUUAAAUAGAUUAUUCAUGCAUCAUUGUGCAUAAUGACUUUAUAUUCUGAAAUACAUUUUGUUCAAUUUCCUGCUGACUUAACUAUUGUUCAAUAAUAUUUUAUCAAAUGAAAUUAUUGAGUAUAUAGAACAUAUACUAUAUUAUAUAAAAAGUCAGGACUGGAAACACUGCUCUCAGCAACGUCACAUUGCAUAAAAUAAAUCCUGUUGAUACCUUCCCGAUUAUGCAACUAUUUUCUUAAAUACAUGUAUUACAGAAUGCAAUUCAUUUAGACAUUUAGUCGUUAUAUUGUCGUGAUUUAAGUAUUAUAUAUGAAAGCAUCUUUGAACUUCCAGCAAAAUACGUCAUGAUUUACAUUUUUCAUAUGUAAUAAGUGUGUAUUAAAAUGUAGUAUUUCCAGCUCAUAAAAAGUCGUACAUUUUUUUCCAUUUGCAAAUUUAACGAAUUCCUAGUAAUAUUUUCGUAAGCGUACACGUAAUUCGUAACUAUAGUUAUUAUGAAAAACCAUAUAGGACCAACAUUUAACUUAAGCAUCAUUCAGAUUGCUUAUGGCAAGCACAAUUUAAAAAGAGCUUCAAGUAUAUCAUUUUGAUCUUGGUUAUAUAGCCUCCUUGUUUUCAGAAACCAUAUGUCAUGGAAUACAUGACAAAAUCUAUUAAAAUUAAUAACAAAAUCAAUUCUUAAGUAACAAGUGGAAUAUGAAACAAGUGUUAUCGGCGUGAUAUAUGUUUUUUUUAAUCUGAAACUGUACAGGAAAUAAACAAAUAUGUAUAUAUUGUUCCGUGUUUUAGCUGCAUAAUGAGUGACCGAAAAGCUGUUGUUAAGAAUGCUGAUAUGUCAGAGGAUAUGCAACAAGAUGUAGUUGACUGUUCUACACAAGCUCUAGAGAAAUUCAACAUUGAAAAAGACAUUGCCGCAUACAUUAAAAAGGAAUUCGAUAGGAAGUAUAACCCAACAUGGCACUGUAUCGUUGGACGGAAUUUUGGCAGUUAUGUUACACAUGAGACCAAACAUUUUAUAUAUUUUUACUUGGGACAAGUUGCAAUUCUGUUGUUCAAAUCUGGUUAAUAAAGGAAAUUCAGUUUACAAUUAAACAUAUUUUAAGCGCAUAAGAAAUCGUUGUCAUACUUGCAGAACUUGUUUUAACUUAGACCAAAUUUGAAAAUAACUAUACUUUUUUUACAUAGAUAUGGCCGUUAGU